This 325-nucleotide ribosomal RNA is filed under the name uncultured eukaryote. Its description in RNAcentral is "partial 18S ribosomal RNA". It matches the Rfam family "Eukaryotic small subunit ribosomal RNA", at positions 1470 to 1796 of the family's 1831-position model. The record is from RNAcentral.
CCCUUAGACGUUCUGGGCCGCACGCGCGCUGCACUGACCAGUGCAACAAGCAUCCGUCCUUGGCCGACAGGCCCGGGCAAUCUUUGAACGCUGGUCGUGAUGGGGAUAGACUUUUGCAAUUUUUGGUCUUCAACGAGGAAUUCCUAGUAAACGCAAGUCAUCAACUUGCAUUGAUUACGUCCCUGCCCUUUGUACACACCGCCCGUCGCUCCUACCGAUUGGGUGCUCCGGUGAAUAAUUCGGACUGCAGCACUGCUUGGUCUCCAGGCUUUGCAGCGGAAAGUUUAGUGAACCUUAUCACUUAGAGGAAGGAGAAGUCGUAACA